This 1081-nucleotide long non-coding RNA is filed under the name Triticum aestivum (bread wheat). RNAcentral's name for it is "long non-coding RNA (TAES_LNC008490)". Lineage: Eukaryota; Viridiplantae; Streptophyta; Magnoliopsida; Poales; Poaceae. The record is from RNAcentral.
GUGCUAUCCACGGAAGCCGGCUCCUCCACUCAGGCCCUCCUCUGCAACGCCGACGAGGACGCUACUUCGUCUGAACCGAUCUUCACGACCACGUGCAGGUAUACACAUGUGCUCCCCUGCCACCCCUGCACUGAUUUAAGGCGAAAUCCAAUUGGGAGUUAUUGAUAGGCACCAAUGUAUUCUUGGUUCAGUUCCCCUGUCUUGAAUUACGUUGAUCCUUUUGGUGAGAUCAAACUGAACAUGCUGAACAUCACUUGCCCAAACUAGCUGAACGCCUUGCUACAUUAUUGCCCAAUUUUGUAAAAUUGAUCAUAGCACUCCUGCUAUCAUGUCAUGUUUGCUAAUACUUAUUGAGCCAUAAAACGAUGUUUUCUGUUUAUAGGCUAGCCCUUCUUAUUAUGUUUCAGAAGAUCGAUAGUACCCAUUACAUUACUACAGUAUAGUGUAAUAUGAGAACCUGAGUUUUGGUUGCCAAGCAAAUGUUUGUGCUAAUUCCCACAAGAAAUUUUUGUUUGAAGAAUUAUUACUUCAUCAGGGAAAUAUCUUUUAUAUGGCUUCAUGAAAUCAAAUAUGACACUAGAUUUGCAGAAUGACUAAGCGACAUAGGAAACUGAUUUAGCACUACCUCAUUAAACAUGAAGACUUAUUCUUGAUUUUGUGCUGAUGUUUCAGAUGGAAUUUUUUUCAUAUGACAUUAGGGAUGUAGGAUGAUUGGGUGAACAAGCUUCCUGUGAAACAUCCAGAUCCCGGUGGCGGUGCCUCCGUUCAGCAUCCCACGCGGCGACGUCCUCCGGCAUAAUGGCAAACAUCGGCAGGGGAGAGAGAAGAGCGGGAGGGGUAUUGGGUCCAUACCAUUGUGGGCAUUGCCAGUGCCAUGAUUGUGGUUAAUACCCACAGGAGAUUCUAUUCCUGUGAGCGGAUUAAACAGAGUUGAGUAAACAUCAUCCAUAGGAGAUACAUGUGCUAAUUAAGUUUAGAGGAGAAAGUGGUUCUUUAUUCUUGUAAUUUUGGUGCAGAUGUCAUACAGGGGCAGAGAACAAUGGUCUUUUGGGAAUGCCUGAUAACUUUUUGGAGCUGCCAG